This 265-nucleotide long non-coding RNA is filed under the name Elaeis guineensis (African oil palm). Its description in RNAcentral is "long non-coding RNA (EGUI_LNC046071)". The record is from RNAcentral. Lineage: Eukaryota; Viridiplantae; Streptophyta; Magnoliopsida; Arecales; Arecaceae.
GGGUAUUGUAUGACUGAAAGAUUGAAUUGCACAGUAACUUAUCAUUGAAGGAUAUUUUUGAUAUUUUCAUCAAAUUCUAUCUCUUCUGGGUAGUCAUGACAUAUUGCUAAAUAUCAAUCUUAACUUAUAGACUCACAAUAAUUAAAAAAAAUUAAUUUAAUAAUUAAUUAGGAAGAGUCCUAGUUAAUUGGUGCAUUUGGGCUGACCUAGUCUAAUCGGAUUAGGGUUAGAUCAAAAGUCUAAGUCCACUGUUGCUUAGAUUUGG